GUUAGAUUAGUAGGUUGUGGGGUUUAAUAACAGAUGGAUGGUGCUGUGCUGGUUAGAUUAGUAGGUUCUGGGGUUUAAUAACAGAUGGAUGGUGCUGUGCUGGUUAGAUUAGUACGUUGUGGGGUUUAAUAACAGGUGGAUGGUGCUGUGCUGGUUAGAUUAGUAGGUUGUGGGGUUUAAUAACAGAUGGAUGGUGCUGUGCUGGUUAGAUUAGUAGGUUGUGGGUUUAAUAACAGAUGGAUGGUGCUGUGCUGGUUAGAUUAGUAGGUUGUGGGGUUUAAUAACAGAUGGAUGGAGCUGUGCUGGUUAGAUUAGUAGGUUCUGGGGUUUAAUAACAGAUGGAUGGUGCUGUGCUGGUUAGAUUAGUAGGUUGUGGGGUUUAAUAACAGAUGGAUGGUGCUGUGCUGGUUAGAUUAGUAGGUUGUGGGGUUUAAUAACAGAUGGAUGGUGCUGUGCUGGUUAGAUUAGUAGGUUCUGGGGUUUAAUAACAGGUGGAUGGUGCUGUGCUGGUUAGAUUAGUAGAUUGUGGGGUUUAAUAACAGGUGGAUGGUGCUGUGCUGGUUAGAUUAGUAGGUUCUGGGGUUUAAUAACAGGUGGAUGGUGCUGUGCUGGUUACAUUAGUAGGUUGUGGGGUUUAAUAACAGGUGGAUGGUGCUGUGCUGGUUAGAUUAGUAGGUUGUGGGGUUUAAUAACAGAUGGAUGGUGCUGUGCUGGUUAGAUUAGUAGGUUCUGGGGUUUAAUAACAGGUGGAUGGUACUGUGCUGGUUAGAUUAGUAGGUUGUGGGGUUUAAUAACAGAUGGAUGGUGCUGUGCUGGUUAGAUUAGUAGGUUGUGGGGUUUAAUAACAGAUGGAUGGUGCUGUGCUGGUUAGAUUAGUAGGUUGUGGGUUUAAUAACAGAUGGAUGGUGCUGUGCUGGUUAGAUUAGUAGGUUGUGGGGUUUAAUAACAGAUGGAUGGUGCUGUGCUGGUUAGAUUAGUAGGUUGUGGGGUUUAAUAACAGAUGGAUGGUGCUGUGCUGGUUAGAUUAGUAGGUUGUGGGGUUUAAUAACAGGUGGAUGGUGCUGUGCUGGUUAGAUUAGUAGGUUGUGGGGUUUAAUAACAGAUGGAUGGUGCUGUGCUGGUUAGAUUAGUAGGUUGUGGGUUUAAUAACAGAUGGAUGGUGCUGUGCUGGUUAGAUUAGUAGGUUGUGGGGUUUAAUAACAGAUGGAUGGAGCUGUGCUGGUUAGAUUAGUAGGUUCUGGGGUUUAAUAACAGAUGGAUGGUGCUGUGCUGGUUAGAUUAGUAGGUUGUGGGGUUUAAUAACAGAUGGAUGGUGCUGUGCUGGUUAGAUUAGUAGGUUGUGGGGUUUAAUAACAGAUGGAUGGUGCUGUGCUGGUUAGAUUAGUAGGUUGUGGGGUUUAAUAACAGAUGGAUGGUGCUGUGCUGGUUAGAUUAGUAUGUUGUGGGGUUUAAUAACAGGUGGAUGGUGCUGUGCUGGUUAGAUUAGUAGGUUGUGGGGUUUAAUAACAGAUGGAUGGUGCUGUGCUGGUUAGAUUAGUAGGUUCUGGGGUUUAAUAACAGGUGGAUGGUGCUGUGCUGGUUAGAUUAGUAGGUUCUGGGGUUUAAUAACAGAUGGAUGGUGCUGUGCUGGUUAGAUUAGUAGGUUGUGGGGUUUAAUAACAGGUGGAUGGUGCUGUGCUGGUUAGAUUAGUAGGUUCUGAUUUGAUAACAGAUGGACUAUCUAUCAGCCAAGCUUAGCAGUUAGGAUUAGAGAGUGUUAUCUUGGAUAUUGUUUCCAAGCUGAUUUAAUGGCUGAUGUUUGAUAUCAGAAAGAGGUUACUAUUCU
Long non-coding RNA from Astyanax mexicanus (Mexican tetra), 1825 nucleotides. RefSeq lists it as uncharacterized. The transcript is spliced from 3 exons. NCBI's taxonomy places the organism in Eukaryota, Metazoa, Chordata, Actinopteri, Characiformes, Acestrorhamphidae. The record is from RefSeq and is a predicted model, not a curated record.